CUUUAAUUAAAAACAUAAAAUGUUUCCCUGUUCUUUAAGGAAAGGGAGUUUCCACUGUCCUGGCACAAUAAUAAGACUUUGUGAAACUUUCUCAUUAUUCUGAUAACUGAGGUUACAGCACUCAAAAUUCAUCAAAAUGAAGCUGCUACUUUCUGUCACUCUCCUUGGCAUUUUCUCAAUAUCAGCUGAAGGACUCCAGUGUCUGAACUGCACUGAUUCAACGUGUUCAACUAUAGAAUCUGUCACAUGUUCCACUGAGACAAUGUGUAUCACAGCUUCUAUUCUCGGUAACGUUUUCAUUUGUAAUCUGAUAUUUUAAAUAAAACAUUUUCACUCUGAGGCUUUCUAUCAAUACUGACAGUCUGUGUUGUGACUCUAUAGAGACCAGCCUACUAGUUUCUUCUUCAGAACUCAGUUUCUUCAAAGGCUGUGCAUCUUCCUCUCUGUGUUCAUCCACGGGCCCAAAGACAUUCUCAGUGGAUCUGGGUCUCUCUGGUAGAUUUAUAUCUGCUGAAUGCUGUGACACACACAACUGUAACUCUCAGACCUUACCCAGUGAGUAGGAUUAUAGAAAAGAGUGACACAUUUGAUGGAGAAAAAAAGUUGAAUAUAAAACUAAAAUAUAUUAAACAUUUGUCUCUUUUACCAGGUCCUACUCCUCCUCAGUCUACCAACAGUCUGCACUGUUUCUUUUGUGCUUUUAGUCGAUGUGACAUUAGCUUUGACUGUCAAGGAGAGGAGGACAGGUGUUUUCAAGGAACGGAUAUGAUGGGUAACCCACAUCGCGGCUGUGCGUCUGCCAAUGUGUGCCAACCUGCACGAAUCAAUGGAAAACUGCCAUCUUUUGAUGAUCUUGGUGAACUUCAGGGUGGAACCACAUGCUGUGAUACUGAUCUGUGUAACGAUGGAACACCACAAGGUUUAACUCCUACAUUCUCAGCUUUAUCUACUCCUAACAUCCUCCUUCUCGCAAAUUAUCACACAUUUCAUACAAAAUUAUUUCUUCUACAUUUUAGUAUAAAGUAUCACUGCUGUUAUGUUUUUUCAUGACUCAAUAUUACAUUUUGUUGAUAGUUCUACUUGUUGAAAAGUAAAUUCUAUUUAGUCAAAAUUUCAGUCAAUUUUUAGUCAGUUUUAAUCGUCCAU
Molecule: long non-coding RNA, 1146 nt
Filed under: Gouania willdenowi (blunt-snouted clingfish)
Lineage: Eukaryota; Metazoa; Chordata; Actinopteri; Blenniiformes; Gobiesocidae
Description: lncRNA (ENSGWIG00000004600.1)
Source: RNAcentral